CCCAGACUCCUACGGGAGGCAGCAGUGGGGGAUAUUGCACAAUGGGGGGAACCCUGAUGCAGCGACGCCGCGUGGGUGAAGGAGCGUUUCGGCGCGUAAAGCCCUAUCGGCAGGGAAGAAGGAGGACGGUACCUGACUAAGAAGCCCCGGCUAACUACGUGCCAGCAGCCGCGGUAAUACGUAGGGGGCAAGCGUUAUCCGGAUUUACUGGGUGUAAAGGGGGCGCAGACGGCAGCGCAAGCCAGGAGUGAAAGCCCGGGGCCCAACCCCGGGACUGCUCUUGGAACUGCGCGGCUGGAGUGCAGGAGGGGCAGGCGGAAUUCCUGGUGUAGCGGUGAAAUGCGUAGAUAUCAGGAGGAACACCGGUGGCGAAGGCGGCCUGCUGGACUGCGACUGACGUUGAGGCCCGAAAGCGUGGGGAGCAAACAGGAUUAGAUACCCCCGUAAC
Molecule: ribosomal RNA, 448 nt
Filed under: uncultured bacterium
Lineage: Bacteria
Description: bacterial SSU rRNA
Rfam family: Bacterial small subunit ribosomal RNA
Source: RNAcentral